Molecule: ribosomal RNA, 254 nt
Filed under: uncultured bacterium
Lineage: Bacteria
Description: partial 16S ribosomal RNA
Rfam family: Bacterial small subunit ribosomal RNA
Source: RNAcentral
UACGGGGGGAGCAAGCGCUGUUCGGAUUUACUGGGCGUAAAGGGCGCGUAGGCGGUCGUGACAAGUCACUUGUGAAAUCUCCGGGCUUAACUCGGAACGGUCAAGUGAUACUGUCGGACUAGAGUACAGAAGGGGCAACUGGAAUUCUCGGUGUAGCGGUGAAAUGCGUAGAUAUCGAGAGGAACACCUGCGGCGAAGGCGGGUUGCUGGGCUGAUACUGACACUGAGGGACGAAAGCUAGGGGAGCGAAUGGG